Molecule: ribosomal RNA, 226 nt
Filed under: uncultured bacterium
Lineage: Bacteria
Description: partial 16S ribosomal RNA
Rfam family: Bacterial small subunit ribosomal RNA
Source: RNAcentral
GCGUUGUCCGGAAUUACUGGGCGUAAAGAGCGCGUAGGCGGCGCUGUACGACCGCGGUGAAAGCCCCCGGCUCAACUGGGGAGGGUCCGUGGUAACGGCAGUGCUCUGAGUGCAGGAGAGGGAAGUGGAACUCCGGGAGUAGCGGUGAAAUGCGUAGAGACCCGGAGGAACACCAGUGGCGAAGGCGGCUUCCUGGUCUGCGACUGACGCUGUGGCGCGAAAGCUA